GUCGCACUCUCAUUGCGAGCAUGCGUACCGCUCCUUAUUUUUUUAUUUUUUCUCCUCCGCAGAGCCAAUAGGGUUAAAUCCAAGGGUCCUCCUAUUUUUUAUCCAACCCUUCCUCCCUCUACACCCAAUCCCGUAUGUAGAUCUUGUUCAGCCUAAGCGAUUGAGAAGCCAUCUCAGCACAGACCCUUUUUUUAAGUUAGUGUCGGACCGAACCUCCAACGUGUAGCAUGUUACCUCUUUAACUCCUUCCUGGUCGAUUUAUUUACUAGAGCUUGUGCUAUUUAUGUUUUAUUUUUAAUACACAGUUCAAGCUCAUUUCUUAUUUUUUAUAAUUUAGUUUCAAAUUCUGGUUACUUUUAUAAUUUUUAAUACAUUUUAAAGCCAAUUCAGUUUCAAUAUCAAGUUUUACUCUCCGUUUCAUAUUAUCAUCCAAUUAAAAUUUUGAAUCAAAAGUUAACAUAGAAUAUUAAUCAUGUGUGCUAAGAGAUUCUCAAAAAUUUUUCACAGUUAAUUUAUAGUGCAGCAGUUACAAAUAAAAAAAUCAAAGGCAAAAUAACCAUAGCGUAAAAACCCAAACGCGUCUCACUUUAUAAUGAUGUGUCUUAAUUUUGAAAUAUUCUGGAGUGAUCAUCAAUGUUAUAUAUGAGGAUGAUCACAAUUAUAGUUUUUGGUGUGUGUGAGUGUUAUCUGAAAUAUUACUGAAAUAAUUUUUCAUAUGGCCUUCAAUCUUCAUCAGAAACUUUAUGGAUACCAUUUUAACAGCUGUUCAUAUAAAAUCUAGUCCGUGGGAAUACAUUAAAUCUCUUGGAAAUCGUACGUAUUAUGUUUGCGUGGAUACAGAGGCUCCAACACGUUCUUGGUUGCAAGUAUAAUCAAACUCCUGCUGCAUGAAGAUCGAUCCUCCAAUCAUGCAAUUUGCUUGUUUACACCACUGCAGGGUUGCUUGGCUGAUAUUUGGUGCAAAUGGUGAUGCAAGGGAAGCAGAAUUUUUCCUCUUAAUUUCAAAGGUUGUUCCGAGGCAGUCCGAAAAAACGAGCGGUCAGACAAACGCUGAUUAUAUUUCUUUUUCUCUCCCAGAGCCACGGUCCACUGCCACGUUUUCCAUCGGUUUAUGGUCGACACACAGAGGGUCUAAUGGGCCAAAAGACAUGAUGAGUUGCUGGUUAAUUUAA
This 1172-nucleotide long non-coding RNA is filed under the name Bemisia tabaci. RNAcentral's name for it is "lncRNA ENSSSA3NGG004910". Lineage: Eukaryota; Metazoa; Arthropoda; Insecta; Hemiptera; Aleyrodidae. The record is from RNAcentral.